This 253-nucleotide ribosomal RNA is filed under the name uncultured bacterium. RNAcentral's name for it is "partial 16S ribosomal RNA". It matches the Rfam family "Bacterial small subunit ribosomal RNA", at positions 524 to 776 of the family's 1533-position model. The record is from RNAcentral.
UACGUAGGGUGCGAGCGUUGUCCGGAUUUAUUGGGCGUAAAGAGCUCGUAGGCGGUCUGUCGCGUCGGAUGUGAAAACCCAGGGCUCAACUCUGGGCCUGCAUUCGAUACGGGCAGACUAGAGUACGGCAGGGGAGACUGGAAUUCCUGGUGUAGCGGUGAAAUGCGCAGAUAUCAGGAGGAACACCGGUGGCGAAGGCGGGUCUCUGGGCCGGAACUGACGCUGAGGAGCGAAAGCGUGGGGAGCGAACAGG